ACGCUCGACACCUACGGGACAGCAGUGAGGAAUAUUGGUCAAUGGACGCAAGUCUGAACCAGCCAUGCCGCGUGCAGGAUGACGGCUCUAUGAGUUGUAAACUGCUUUUGUACGAGGGUAAACGCAGAUACGUGUAUCUGUCUGAAAGUAUCGUACGAAUAAGGAUCGGCUAACUCCGUGCCGGCAGCCGCGGUAAUCUGAGCGGGCUGGCAAGGC
Molecule: ribosomal RNA, 216 nt
Filed under: uncultured bacterium
Lineage: Bacteria
Description: partial 16S ribosomal RNA
Rfam family: Bacterial small subunit ribosomal RNA
Source: RNAcentral